AGAGAGAGGAAGAAGACAACAAGAACAAGAGCAAGAACAAAGCAGCUUAUGUAAAAUACUGACAGCUUACUGCAAUUUUACAGCAUUCCUCACAAGGUGGUUCAGAAUAGAUCCAGUGGACUGUAGUCUGUUUAACUGAGACCUCACACAUAAUGUCAUGGUUGACAGUUACUGGUUGAAGGAAAUCCAUGUUGGGCUUCUGUGGAUGCUGGAUUCUUUCCUUCUGAGAAGAAAUAUAACACACUGACUUUGAGGUGAUGGUGGAGAAAAAGUACAAGCAGAAGACUUUUCCCAACUUCUCCAUAGAAUGAAGAGGGAAUCUUUGAACUUGAUUACCAAGGAGAUGGGAUGAUAAAUCCAUCCAGCCACUCCAAGAAGCCAAGUUAAGACCCUGCAACAAAGGGAAUUCAAAGACUUGAGCUGUCCAUUGAGAAAGAUCUGCUGCUUAAGUUCAAGUUCAUGUCCUCCAGAUGUUUCCCCCAUCCUCCAGGGUCACUGCCUUCUUGUCGAACUUGAAUCUGCCUUCAAUUUAUUAAUGGAUCUGGUUGGUGGCAUCCACUGUUUACCAAGAGCCUUUCUACAAUCCACACUACUGGACUAACGCUUUCCCCUACUUCACUCUACUCUCAAGGGAUGGAAGCACUGAUGAAGAGCACAGACAGAAUCAAGUGUACAUGCAGAACAUAUGGUAACCAUAUAAAGGGAUGAUGUCAAAAUUCUCAGCCUCCUUGCUCUUCAGUAUCUUCUUCCCCUUUACCUCGUCUGGAUGGUGUAUAAUGAAGAGGCACCUAGCGGUGCCUCCUGCCUCUAGAGUAAGAUUCAAGGGAGGAUAUAUAGGCUCCUCCAUAGGGUCAAGAGGUUUUCAAAGGCUGUGUUGUCCCAUCCAGCUACCAAAACAAGAGACAAAAUUGUGACCUGGAGUUGAAACUCUAGUGAGUGAUAAAGAGGGGAAGUUUCCUAAAGCAGAAGUUCUCAGUCUGGGGGCUAUCUGUGUGUUGUGUACUGAAUUUUGUGUCCUCCCAAAAUUCAGACGUUGAAGCCCUAGUCCCCAUUGUGGUUGUAUUUGGAGGUGGGGCUUUGGGAGAUGAUUAGAAUUAGAUUAGUUCAUGAAGGUGAAGCCCUUCUGAUGGGAUUAGUACCCAUACAAGAAGAGACACAAGAUCCCUCUACCAAUUAUGCUAGCUCUCCUCUCUUUCUCUCUCCACCGUCUGGGAUACUUCAGGAAGAUGUCUGUCUGCAAACCAGGAAGAGGUCCCUCAAGCACUAAAUCUGCUGGCACCUUGAUCUUGGGCUUCCCAGCCUUUAGGACUGUGAGAAAUCUUUGCUGUUUAAGCAAUCCCAUCUAUGGUAUUUUGUUACAGCAGCCCAAGCUGACUAAGACACUGUGGAUACCUUGCAUGCCUGGGAGGCUUGCACAUCCUUGGACAUUAUAAGUAAUAUUUUUCUGAAAAGGGGUCAUAACUCUCAUCGGAGAGUCAAAAGACCAAGUCUAUGACUCCCAAAAGAUUAUAUACCACUGACGGAGUGGCCCUUGUGUUCUUAUCCUGUAGAACCACAAGAAACUUGAGGAUUGGGGAUCCUAGUCCUGGCCUUCAUUCCGUACUUGCAUGACCAACAUCUAAGAGUACUAACAAAUAUGAUGAAAUAAGAAAGAUUCAAGAGGAUACACAUAUUUUCUUUGUCCAAUG
Molecule: long non-coding RNA, 1688 nt
Filed under: Homo sapiens (human)
Lineage: Eukaryota; Metazoa; Chordata; Mammalia; Primates; Hominidae
Description: HSALNT0302403
Source: RNAcentral